Molecule: long non-coding RNA, 280 nt
Filed under: Gossypium raimondii (Peruvian cotton)
Lineage: Eukaryota; Viridiplantae; Streptophyta; Magnoliopsida; Malvales; Malvaceae
Description: long non-coding RNA (GRAI_LNC002253)
Source: RNAcentral
AACAAUUGAGUUACCUUGGAAUGAUAUAUUUUGGGCUUGAAUGUACCUACUUUGCUACGAGUUACCAUAGGAUGAGUAUUGACUAUAUCAUGAGAGAACUGACUGGGAUCAGAAGUGUCAAUUAGACGAGGUUGACUUGACUCAAAAGAAACAGUAGGCUCAAUAGGGUUGGAAGUAAGUAAUGGUAAUGUAGACAUUGGAUUGGGUAACUCAGUUGAUAGGGGUUGUUGUUGAACUAGAUUUGGAGACUGUUGGUAAGUUGUUUAUGGUUGUGAGUGAC